RNAcentral lists this ribosomal RNA (376 nucleotides) under uncultured bacterium. RNAcentral describes it as "bacterial SSU rRNA". It matches the Rfam family "Bacterial small subunit ribosomal RNA", at positions 355 to 722 of the family's 1533-position model. The record is from RNAcentral.
UGAGGAAUAUUGGACAAUGGGCGCAAGCCUGAUCCAGCCAUGCCGCGUGUGUGAAGAAGGUCUUAGGAUCGUAAAGCACUUUCAGCGAGGAGGAAGGGAGUUGUGUUAAUAGCACAGCUUCUUGACGUUACUCGCAGAAGAAGCACCGGCUAACUCUGUGCCAGCAGCCGCGGUAAUACAGAGGGUGCAAGCGUUAAUCGGAAUUACUGGGCGUAAAGCGCACGUAGGCGGUUUUUAAGUCAGAUGUGAAAGCCCCGGGCUCAACCUGGGAAUUGCAUUUGAAACUGGAAAACUAGAGUGUGUGAGAGGGGGGUAGAAUUCCAAGUGUAGCGGUGAAAUGCGUAGAGAUUUGGAGGAAUACCGAGUGGACGAAGGC